UAGGAAAAACGUUAGUAGAGUGAAAAUUCUUAGUGGCGGUUUUUACCGGAAAGGACGCUAACUAGUGCCAGCAGCAGGGGUAUACGUAGGUCCCAAGCGUGUCCGGAUUUAUAGGCCGAAAGCGAGCGCAGGUGGUUCUUAAGUCUGACGUAAAAGGCAGUGGCUCAACCAUUGUGUGCAUUGGAAACUCGGAGACUUGAGUGCAGGAGAGGAGAGUGGAAUUGCAUGUGUAGCGGUGAAAUGCGUAGAUAUAUGGGGAACACCGGAGGCGAAAGCGGCUCUCUGGCCGGUAACUGACACUGAGGCUGGAAAGCGUGGGGAGCAAACAGGAUUAGAUACCCUGGUAGUCCACGCCGUAAACGAUGAGUGCUAGCUGUAGGGAGCUAUAAGUUCUCUGUAGCGCAGCUAACGCAUUAAGCACUCCGCCUGGGGAGUACGACCGCAAGGUUGAAACUCAAAGGAAUUGACGGGGGCCCGCACAAGCGGUGGAGCAUGUGGUUUAAUUCGAAGCAACGCGAAGAACCUUACCAGGUCUUGACAUACUCGUGCUAUCCUUAGAGAUAAGGAGUUCCUUCGGGACACGGGAUACAGGUGGUGCAUGGUUGUCGUCAGCUCGUGUCGUGAGAUGUUGGGUUAAGUCCCGCAACGAGCGCAACCCUUAUUACUAGUUGCCAUCAUUAAGUUGGGCACUCUAGUGAGACUGCCGGUGAUAAACCGGAGGAAGGUGGGGAUGACGUCAAAUCAUCAUGCCCCUUAUGACCUGGGCUACACACGUGCUACAAUGGAUGGUACAACGAGUCGCCACCCGCGAGGGUGCGCUAAUCUCUUAAAACCAUUCUCAGUUCGGAUUGCAGGCUGCAACUCGCCUGCAUGAAGUCGGAAUCGCUAGUAAUCGCGGAUCAGCACGCCGCGGUGAAUACGUUCCCGGGCCUUGUACACACCGCCCGUCACACCACGGAAGUUGGGAGUACCCAAAGUAGGUUGCCUAACCGCAAGGAGGGCGCUUCCUAAGGUAAGACCGAUGACUGGGGGAAGUCGUAAGCAAGG
RNAcentral lists this ribosomal RNA (1047 nucleotides) under Lactococcus garvieae. RNAcentral describes it as "bacterial SSU rRNA". It matches the Rfam family "Bacterial small subunit ribosomal RNA", at positions 434 to 1496 of the family's 1533-position model. Lineage: Bacteria; Bacillati; Bacillota; Bacilli; Lactobacillales; Streptococcaceae. The record is from RNAcentral.